AAUUGUGUUCAUGUCCUAGUGUCUGUGGAAGGUAGAACUUGCAAAUAACUAAACUGGAUAUUUGGCUGAGGAAAUAUCUAAGCACAGUGUUCAAGAAGUGGCCUGGCUCCUCCUGAUUUCUUAUAGUAAAAUGACUCAAAGAUGAGAUUGUUCAUCAACAGGGAGGCAGAACUUAGGGAUUUAGAAAGUUCUCAGCCUAUUCAUAUUGUAAAGAAUGAGAAAACAUGAUCUAGAGAGAAUGCCAAGGGUAUGGUAAAGUGACAAUGUAUAAAGGAGAUUAGUAUGGGUCAGCCUUCUCAACAGAAGCCAGGCGCUAUUCAAGACAAUGGUGAGAUUAGUCAGUGACCUAAACAAAAGCCAAGAACUAUCAUCAAAGACAAGGAAAGAGCAAUUCAGAAAUCAUCAGGGCUGCUCUACCCAUCACAGGCCCAGAGUACAAGAGCCACAGUGAGUACUAUGAGGCCACCACAGAAAGAUCCCAUUAGGGCAACGCCCACCUACUCCAGCAGCUCCAUACCAGCAGAGCUACCAGUGUAUGAUUCCAGCCCAAGGGAGCUAUGGUUGCAAGAACCAGAGACACUGCAGGGGGACAGGGCUGCCUGGAGCCAUUAUGGGCCCAAACCCUGCUAGGCAAAGCCAUGGGGGCAACACAGCCAUCUCAAUGGGUCUAGAAGGUGAGACUCUCACUCCAGUGGGUCUGGUAGGCAGUACCCCUACCCCAGUGGGUCUGGAAGGGAGGAGCUCUACCCAGUGGGCCUGAAGGGCAGAAUAUCAAGUCACAAAAGAUUAUUCUUGAAUGUUAAGGUUUAUUACUAUUUGCCCUUUUGAAGUUUUGACUUACUUGGGGCCUGUUAUCCCUUUCUUCUUUCCUAUUUCUCCCUUUUGGGAUGGGAAUCCUAUACCUACCUAUCCCACAAUUAUAUUUUGGAACCACAUAACAUGUUGGUUUCACAGGUUCACAGCUGGAGAGCAAUUUGCCUCAGGAUGAACAGUAUCUUGAAUCUCAUUCCUAUUGGAUUUAGAUGAUAUUUAGAUGAGAGUUUGGACUUAAGACUUUAAAGCUGAUGUUAGAAUGAAUUAAGACGUUUAUGGCUAAUGAGAUAGAAUGAGUGUAUUUUGCAUAUGAAAAGGACAUGAAUUUAGUGGGGGUCAGAGGAAGAAUGCUAUGGACAAUGUUUGUGUCUCCCCAAAAUUACUAUGUUGAAACCUAACCCCCAAUGUGAGGGUAUUUGGAGGUGAAGCCUUGGGAAAGUAAUUAGGCCAUGAAAGUGGAGCCCUCAUGAAUGGAAUUGGUGACCUCAUAAAAGAGGCCCCAUAGAUAUUCCUGGUUGCUUCUGCCACGUGAAAACACAGCAAAAAGACAGCUGUCUAUGAAACAGGAAGUAGGUCCUCACCAGACACAGAAUCUGCCAGCACCUUGACCUUGGAUUUUCAAGCCUCCAGAACUGUCAAUGUCACCAUUCCGAAGCUGGACUUGCAGUUCACUGGGAAGCAUGACACCACAGUACCUCCAGCUGUGGACGCAUCAUGGACAAGGCAGGCUGAGAGGAGAACUUCUCAUUACUUGCAACAGAGCAACAUUGGGUUCAAUGUAUGCCCAUGAAAAACCUCAUUUAAGAGAGUGCCUUGGAAAGGUGCCAAGGUCCCCAAACUAAUUAACUUUCAUCUCUCCUGUCCCUCUGUGCCCUCUCUCCAUGAGGAACAUUAAAGACAGAACAUCAGCUUGA
This is a long non-coding RNA of Symphalangus syndactylus (siamang), 1727 nucleotides long. RefSeq lists it as uncharacterized. The record is from RefSeq and is a predicted model, not a curated record. Lineage: Eukaryota; Metazoa; Chordata; Mammalia; Primates; Hylobatidae.